UACGUAGGGGGCUAGCGUUGUCCGGAAUCAUUGGGCGUAAAGAGCGUGUAGGCGGCCCGGUAAGUCCGCUGUGAAAGUCGGGGGCUCAACCCUCGAAUGCCGGUGGAUACUGUCGGGCUAGAGUGCGGAAGAGGCGAGUGGAAUUCCUGGUGUAGCGGUGAAAUGCGCAGAUAUUCGCAAGAACACCCGUGGCGAAGGCGGCUCUCUGGGACGGUACUGACGCUGAGACGCGAAAGCGUGGGGAGCGAACAGG
RNAcentral lists this ribosomal RNA (253 nucleotides) under uncultured bacterium. RNAcentral's name for it is "partial 16S ribosomal RNA". It matches the Rfam family "Bacterial small subunit ribosomal RNA", at positions 524 to 776 of the family's 1533-position model. The record is from RNAcentral.